GACGAACGCUGGCGGCGUGCCUAAUACAUGCAAGUUGAGCGCUGAAGGUUGGUACUUGUACCAACUGGAUGAGCAGCAAACGGGUGAGUAACGCGUGGGGAAUCUGCCUUUGAGCGGGGGACAACAUUUGGAAACGAAUGCUAAUACCGCAUAAAAACUUUAAACACAAGUUUUAAGUUUGAAAGAUGCAAUUGCAUCACUCAAAGAUGAUCCCGCGUUGUAUUAGCUAGUUGGUGAGGUAAAGGCUCACCAAGGCGAUGAUACAUAGCCGACCUGAGAGGGUGAUCGGCCACAUUGGGACUGAGACACGGCCCCAACUCCUACGGGAGGCAGCAGUAGGGAAUCUUCGGCAAUAGACGAAAGUCUGACCGAGCAACGCCGCGUGAGUGAAGAAGGUUUUCGGAUCGUAAAACUCUGUUGGUAGAGAAGAACGUUGGUGAGAGUGGAAAGCUCAUCAAGUGACGGUAACUACACAGAAAGGGACGGCUAACUACGUG
This 497-nucleotide ribosomal RNA is filed under the name uncultured bacterium. Its description in RNAcentral is "partial 16S ribosomal RNA". It matches the Rfam family "Bacterial small subunit ribosomal RNA", at positions 28 to 507 of the family's 1533-position model. The record is from RNAcentral.